CCUACGGGAGACAGCAGUGAGGAAUAUUGGUCAAUGGACGAGAGUCUGAACCAGCCAAGUAGCGUGAAGGAUGACUGCCCUACGGGUUGUAAACUUCUUUUAUAUGGGAAUAAAAUGUUCCACGUGUGCGUUUUUGUAUGUACCAUAUGAAUAAGGAUCGGCUAACUCCGUGCCAGCAGCCGCGGUAAUACGGAGGAUCCGAGCGUUAUCCGGAUUUAUUGGGUUUAAAGGGAGCGUAGGUGGAUUGUUAAGUCAGUUGUGAAAGUUUGCGGCUCAACCGUAAAAUUGCAGUUGAAACUGGCAGUCUUGAGUACAGUAGAGGUAGGCGGAAUUCGUGGUGUAGCGGUGAAAUGCUUAGAUAUCACGAAGAACUCCGAUUGCGAAGGCAGCUCACUGAACUGCAACUGACACUGAGGCUCGAAAGUGUGGGUAUCAAACAGGAUUAGAUACCCUAGUAGUC
This 460-nucleotide ribosomal RNA is filed under the name uncultured bacterium. RNAcentral's name for it is "partial 16S ribosomal RNA". It matches the Rfam family "Bacterial small subunit ribosomal RNA", at positions 338 to 795 of the family's 1533-position model. The record is from RNAcentral.